Molecule: ribosomal RNA, 463 nt
Filed under: uncultured bacterium
Lineage: Bacteria
Description: partial 16S ribosomal RNA
Rfam family: Bacterial small subunit ribosomal RNA
Source: RNAcentral
GACGAACGCUGGCGGCGUGCUUAACACAUGCAAGUCGAACGGAAAGGCCUUUUCGGAGGUACUCUAGUGUCGAACGGGUGAGUAACACGUGUGUGAUCUGCCCUCCACUCUGUGAUAAGACUGGGAAACUGGGUCUAAUACCGGAUAGAACCGCACCUUCGUGUUUGUGGUGGAAAGUUUUUUCGGUGUGGGAUGAGCCCGCGGCCUACCAGCUUGUUGGUGGGGUAGUGGCUUACCAAGGCGGUGACGGGUAGCCGGACUGAGAGGUUGGUCGGCCACAUUGGGACUGAGAUACGGCCCAGACUCCUACGGGAGGCAGCAGUGGGGAAUAUUGCACAAUGGGUGCAAGCCUGAUGCAGCGACGCCGCGUGGGGGAUGACGGCCUUCGGGUUGUAAACUGCUUUCGCCAGGGACGAAGCGUUUUGUGACGGUACUUGGAGAAGAAGCACCGGCUAACUACGUG